AGAGUUUGAUCCUGGCUCAGGACGAACGCUGGCGGCGUGCUUAACACAUGCAAGUCGAACGGAGAACUUAUUUCGGUAAGUUCUUAGUGGCGAACGGGUGAGUAACGCGUGGGCAACCUGCCCUCCAGUUGGGGACAACAUUCCGAAAGGGAUGCUAAUACCGAAUGUGCUCCCUCCUCCGCAUGGAGGAGGGAGGAAAGAUGGCCUCUGCUUGCAAGCUAUCGCUGGAAGAUGGGCCCGCGUCUGAUUAGCUAGUUGGUGGGGUAACGGCUCACCAAGGCGAUGAUCAGUAGCCGGUCUGAGAGGAUGAACGGCCACAUUGGGACUGAGACACGGCCCAAACUCCUACGGGAGGCAGCAGUGGGGAAUCUUCCGCAAUGGACGAAAGUCUGACGGAGCAACGCCGCGUGAGUGAUGAAGGUCUUCGGAUUGUAAAACUCUGUUGUUAGGGACGAAAGCACCGUGUUCGAACAGGUCAUGGUGUUGACGGUACCUAACGAGGAAGCCACGGCUAACUACGUGCCAGCAGCCGCGGUAAUACGUAGGUGGCAAGCGUUGUCCGGAAUUAUUGGGCGUAAAGAGCAUGUAGGCGGGCUUUUAAGUCUGACGUGAAAAUGCGGGGCUUAACCCCGUAUGGCGUUGGAUACUGGAAGUCUUGAGUGCAGGAGAGGAAAGGGGAAUUCCCAGUGUAGCGGUGAAAUGCGUAGAUAUUGGGAGGAACACCAGUGGCGAAGGCGCCUUUCUGGACUGUGUCUGACGCUGAGAUGCGAAAGCCAGGGUAGCAAACGGGAUUAGAUACCCCGGUAGUCCUGGCCGUAAACGAUGGAUACUAGGUGUAGGAGGUAUCGACCCCUUCUGUGCCGGAGUUAACGCAAUAAGUAUCCCGCCUGGGGACUACGAUCGCAAGAUUGAAACUCAAAGGAAUUGACGGGGGCCCGCACAAGCGGUGGAGUAUGUG
RNAcentral lists this ribosomal RNA (958 nucleotides) under Acidaminococcus intestini. RNAcentral describes it as "bacterial SSU rRNA". It matches the Rfam family "Bacterial small subunit ribosomal RNA", at positions 8 to 943 of the family's 1533-position model. Lineage: Bacteria; Bacillati; Bacillota; Negativicutes; Acidaminococcales; Acidaminococcaceae. The record is from RNAcentral.